Molecule: long non-coding RNA, 9290 nt
Filed under: Lathyrus oleraceus (garden pea)
Lineage: Eukaryota; Viridiplantae; Streptophyta; Magnoliopsida; Fabales; Fabaceae
Description: Pisum sativum (pea) long non-coding RNA (PSAT_LNC022072)
Source: RNAcentral
GCUCCAAGCCUCAACAUCAAGCUUGGGACAAUUACUGGUCACCAACAUUGAAACUUAUAAUCUCCUUUUUCACAACAAUAACAACUCAUGAUGCAUGAAUGAAUGCAUGCAUCAUCACAACAACUCAACAACACAAACAUUAUCACAUCAAUCACAUAAUUUCCUGUACAACCUAAACAUGAUAGUUUCACAUCUAAACCAUGCAUCUCAACUUAACAUGUCAUUAAAAUACAAAAAUCAAACAACCUGCAAUUAUAUCAACAAUUUACCAGACCAACUCAUCAACAACGGAAACUCAACGUUUUGCCAAGUGGUUCAUCACAUCAUCAUUAAAACCACAACAUAAUUACACCCAUAAUCCUAGUUUAAUCAUACCAAAUCUCACUAUCAUUGUGUAGCUCAACGUGUUAGCUUUCCAACACUUUAAACGACAUCUAAAUCGGACUUAUGAAAUGAAAGUUAUGACCAAAAUCAUCGGGAUAUGUCAACUAAUUCAUUAACCGAACAUAUGAACAAAAACUUCAUCUUUACAGUAGGAAUAAGAGUAAUACUAGAACAAUUUACCUAUCAUAACUAUUCUAUAGCUCUGAGCAUUAUCUUUCUAAUGCUUCAAAUGGGGUAUGAUUUGGAUGCACGGUUAUAAAGUUAUGAGAUAAAACGUCGAAACAUGUUACAAUCGCGAAACAUAAAAAUUUGCUAUACUACAACAACAAUUGAUUGUCAUUGGAUGACAACCGAUUGUCAUAAACGCCCAUGCCAAAAAUCACAUUUUAAAAGCAUGACAAUGGAUUGUUGACUUGGUAUAACCGAUUGUCAUUAAUAUAUUUUUCAAAAUUCACACUAGUGCAAUCAGUUGUCAUUUGGGAACAACUGAUUAUCACUGUGUAUUUUUCUAAAAACCCAGUUUCUUCUGUUACGUGAAUCUCCCAAUUUCAACCUUUUUCACCUUAAAUCAGUCUCAAUUGCAAUAGUCCAAAUCAUCUCUAAUUACACUAAAACAACAUCAAACACAUCCAUCCAAAUUUAUUAGACACAAACACAUCAAAUUCUCAUGAAUUGAUCAUUAAGAUUUACACAUAGAAUCACCCAAGUUCAUAUCACAACUCAAGAAAUAAACCGCCCAUCAACACUUAACAUUGUAAUUUUAAAUCAAAGCAUACAACAAUAAUCUAUUAACAUAUAUGACCAGUCAUACUCAUCAACAUUUCAUCCAAAAUCAAUUGGUACACAAACCCUAACCGAGGUCAAGGGACACCCCGUACCAUUUCAUGAUUUAACACCCAUAUAUGAAUGAUUCCCCCCUUACCUUGUGAUUGCAAAAAAUUCUUGAUCGAUCCUUGACUUUUCCUCUCCCAAGCCCUAAGCCUCUUUUCACUUUUCUCUCAAAACACAUAUUGUAACCUCUAUCCCCUCACAAUUUUUUUUUUUAAUUUUUAUAUCAAAAACAUAGUUUCCUCAUUAGGCUAUCCCCGUCUUAACCUUAAUAUAUUUCCAUAAUGCCUACCUUGUCCUCAGUUACUCAACAUAAGCUCAAUAUUGUCAUUCCCCUAUUUAUUUUCUAUUUUUAUUUCAUUUAGUUAUUCUAAUUUUAUUACUUUCUCUCUAAUAAUAAAACAAAAUAAAUAAAUUCACUAAAAGCUAUUUUAUCCAUAUUUUCUUUAAUUAAUAAUUAAAACUCUUAACAUUUUAAUUAUUCUACCACUUUUCCACUAUCCUUCUCAACCAUCCCUCUGCACCUGAUACACAUGAAAAACAUAACUCAUCACAAAAUAUAUAAUUAAAUCAAAAUGAAUUACUAAAAUUGGGGUGUUACACUUGUGGUGAUGAAAUUCCCAUAUCUGGUUGUACGAAAUACGCCACUACUUGACUUAUGGCAAUGGGCAUUUCCUCGAUGGAGGUUGGAGUCACAGAACUGCCGACACUAGUAACCGUCGAUUGCCCUCCUAUGUUUAAAGUGUUACUUUUGAGACAUUUUGGAAAGUUAGUUACCACUCCUCAAGUGCUUACAACAUAAAAAACAACACAAAUGGAAGACACUACAAAGAAAAUAAUGUAAGACACCUUUUUUUGGCAAAAAUAUUCGCAUAAAAAGGUCUCAUCGGAUGUGUCAAUUUGUUUACCGAUGUCUUUGGUAAAUAAUCACGAGUUUGAAAGUCUGUGAGAUUAACUCAAAAAAUCUCCAAAGCAAUUUGUGCAAAUGGUUUGUGUAAACACACGUGCGUGUGAAUUGAAUGCAGUUGUCGCAUGAAUGAUAAUGACGUAGAAAAAGAAUUUAAAUGAAGUUAGAUUGUGAUAAAUGAUAAGGUAAAAUGCAAUAAAUGAAAUUAAACAAAGAAAAAGUAAAAGUACAUGUUCUGUUUAAGGAAACAAAAGACUAUUGAAAAAGAUUGGACGCAGACACAUACAUGUUUCUCGCUCAACCGUUUCGCUCUUUGACUCGGGUACUCCAGUGGUUUGGAGAGUAUGUAUGAAAUUUUGCAACCUUUGAUCCCAUAUAUUAUCUUGAUAUUUAUUAUAUUUAGAAAGUAACCUUCGAUAAUGGUUAUGACCACUAAGGAACUCAUGCAUUCACUCCACAUUCAAUCUUCAAGUUCCCACUAGUGUGUUUACGUGCUACCCGUACCACUGUAUAUUUGCAAACUAUGUUGAGUUGUAACUACUCCCAACUUCCUCAUGAACCUUCGAUGGUAAUUGAUUUAACAUGUUGUCGACGCUGACUAUCAAGGACUAUAAAAUUGUAAAUUUACUAAGUCUUUCACUUUACGUGUCUCAGUCGACUGAUCUUCUUGAUGAAAUAAAGGCUUUUAUCGACUGUCUUUUUUUUUUAAGAUUUUGGACAUGUUUCCCAACGACCCGGGUCUUGGGAGUUUAUCCCUGAGAGUCAUCCAAACCAUAUAUCCAUGUUUCGACGACUCGGUUGAUCCUUCGUUAUUGGUCUGUUGACGCUUCAACAUUUAUGCUUUUUAAGAAACUUCAUUAAUGCUUGUUGACUUUCCACUAACUGAAAAAUCCAAAUGAAACAGGUUCACGUCGAGUUUUUGGCAGAGUUUGAAAGAAGCUUUGGGUACUAAGAUGAAUUAGAGUUUCACUUAUCACCUGCAGAUUGAUGGGCAAAUGGAGAAGACCAUAGAAUCCUUGGAGGAUUUGUUGAGGGCUUGUGUGCUAGAAUAAGGAGGUGCUUGGGAUAACUAUUUACCGCUGAUUGAGUUCACUUAUAAUAACAGUUUUCACUCAAGUAUUGGGAUAGACCCCUUUAAGGUGUUGUAUGGUAGGAGGUGUAUGGAACCUCUGUGUUGGUAUGAAUCCGGCGAGAGUGCAAUGAUAGGACAUGAGAUUAUGCAAUAAACUUCAAAGAAGAUCAAGAUGAUCCAAGAGAAGAUGAAAGCUUCAUAGAGUCUCUAGAAGAGUUACCAUGAUAAAAGUAGUAAAGAACUUGAGUUCCAAGAGGGAGACCAUGUGUUUUUGAGAGUUACUCCAAUAACCGGUGUUGGCCGAGUGUUGAAGUCUCAAAAUCUCACGCCGCAUUUUGUUGGGCCAUACCAGAUCUUGUAGAGGAUAUGAGAGGUGACCUAUCGGAUUGUCUGCCACCAUCACUUUCUAAUCUUCAUGAUAUGUUUUAUAUGUCUCAAUUGAGGAGAUACAUUAUGGAUUUGUCUCAUGUGAUCCAAGUGGAUGAUAUACAUGUGAGAGAGAACCUGGUUGUUGAGGCAUCGCCCAUGCAGAUAAAGGAUCAGGAAGUGAAGCAGUUGUGUGGUAAGGAGAUUGCCUUUGUGAAGAUAAUGUGGGGAGGACCAACUGGUGGAAGCAUAAAUUAGGAGCUAGAGAGUCAGAUGAGUGAGUCAUAUCCGACUCUGUUUACUUCAGGUAAUUUUUUAGGGCAAAAUUUUUUCUAAGUGGGGGAAAUUUGUAACACCCCAUAUUCGAUUAAUUAAUUUAAUUUAAUUAUUUAAAAUUUUAUUUGAUUAAUUGGUAUUUUAAAUUAUUUGUUGUGUGAUUAUGAGGAUAAGUAUCAUUGAAGUAAAAGUAUAGAGAGAGUAAGAGUUUGAUAUAGUUAUUUAGAAUUAAUUAAAAUUUUAAUUAAUUAUUAGAAUAAAUAAUAUUUUAUUUAAAUGAUUGAAUAAAAUAGUAAAAUAGGAGUUUUGGGCCAUUGUGAGAAUUAGAGAAAAUAUGUGGUGAGAGUAUAUGAACUUGUAAUGAGUUGGGCAAAAACAGUAAUUUAGAAACACUAUAUUCUAAAAGUUGGGAGAUGAGCUAGGUUUUUAGAGAAAUAUGACAAUACGUAAAAUAAGAGGCAAAGAGGAACCAAGAGUUUUUGGGAAGGAGAGCUAAGUUGGGAAGAGGGACUUAUAGAAAUUGUUCAAUUAACUAUCAUUGUUGGAAAUCUAAGAUAAGGGGGAGAAAAUGCUACAAAUCUAUGUGUAUUGCAUGACGACCAAAGAUGAGAGGUCCUUUACUCUCUUUAGGGAAAUUGGGAUGUGAUUAAUUCUGAAUGUCUUUGAUGUUUCGAUGUUAUUAUAUGUUUUAAUGAUGAAUUUCGUAUGCAUAUAUAUGUACUAUUUUAUGUUUUGAGAUAUUGAUGUUUUCCACCAUGUUUGAAGGUUUUGGGGUAAAUAUGAUUUUGAGGGAUUGAUUGAUUAAAUGUGCUAAAGCAUGAAAAUAAUAUGCCAUGGAUGCAUAUAUGUCAUGUAUGUAUUAUUUUGGGUUGGUUUUGGUGGAUGAGGGUGAAAGAAUGUGAGUUUUCUUUGAUCUCCAUUGUUGAAAACGUGUUUUUGAUGUUCUGAAUGAUCAUGACACCCAUGAUAGUUUUCCACUCAGGUUCAUGACGGUCGUCAUGCCAUGACGCCCAUGGUAGUCAUGCACAUGUAACUUGCAUAAUUUGGUUGUUUGCUUGUAUUAGAAUGCAAAAUCCAUUUUUUUUUUGACUUUUGUUGGCUGGUUGGCUAUUGUUAGCUACUAUUUGAUAUUGUUGUGACGUGAGUUAAUGAUCAGACAUAUUUGAUCGAAGUUAUGAAAUGAUGGAUGAAUGAUGGGAAUAUUUUGAAUUUUGUUGAACAUUUGUGCAUAUUUUAUGACAAUUUCGUGAUGAUUGAUUGUUGCGUAUGAUGAAUGAUGUGGUGUAUAAAUGGUGAGAUGUGUAUCGUGAUCCUUUUGGUGAACCUUUUAGUGAACCUCUUGGUGAUAAUGCAUGUUAUCGAGAGUCAUGCAUCAUGGUGUACAAACUUUGGUCCAGUUUUGAUGUGCUCUAGUCUGAUGGUGGGGAUCAGAAGUGAGUAGCCGAUUCCAUGUGGGAGCUGGUGAAGCGUUACCUAUGAUGGUGGUAAGAAUUUGAUGUGCUCUGGUCCUAUGGUGGGGAUCCGUAGCGAGAUGAACCUGAGUGUUCAUGAAUGGUACCACAUGCAUAAUGAGUCAUUUGUGGAGUACAUUUGCAUACAUAAUUGCACAUGUAGUUGACUGUUUCAUGUGUUGAUUGAUUGGUUGAGAAUAUCUACAGGUUGUCAUGAUUUUGGUGUGAGAAUAUGUUAUGGAUGAUUGUGUAAUGAAUGUGUACUUGUCGUGUAUUCUUUACUUUAGCAUUCUUUACACUGUUUAUAUUUGUUUGUUGUUUCUCACCCCUUUUGCUUUCAUGUUGUCCACCAUGGACAUCUUGCAAACACUUAGGAGUAGAGUUUGCUGAUGUAAGUGAAAGUUAGUUCCUGAAGUUACUUCGUUUAGUUUCAUCGUUGUUUAGAAGGUUUGCUCUGAUUAUGUAACAUCGGGGUUGAGAGCCUUUGUUUGCUUAUUAUGUUUUGUUGGAGUUUAAUCAUUUUUAUUCGGUUUAUGUUGAAGUUGUUAAAAAGUGGAAUAUGAUUUUCAAAAUAAAGACUAAGAGUCUAAAUUAUGUUGUUUUAUUUAAUUGAAAUAAUAUCGAAUAUCGCCGUAAUGAUACCCUAAGUGAAGGUGAGCGUGCGAUGACAAGUGUUGUAUGACGUUUAUACUUUCCGUUGUGUGUUUGUUAAAGAUUUUAUCGUCGGUGACACCUUAGAUUAUCGUGUAAAGCUUAAUAUAUAAGUAUCAGGGUUUAGGGUAUUACAUAAACCACCUAUAUAGAGUUUCUCACCUCAUCGUGUGAGUUAACUCUAAUCCUUAACAUACCCAAAGCCUCUAAUAACUUUUAUCCAUUAGCGAUUAUAAUGCUCAUUGUACUUUUAUCCAGUACAUAUAUCUACACUAAGAAUGAACAGUUUGCUCCUUUUACCAUUCAACUAUUUAUGGGAAAUUUUUCCAUAACCCUCGUAAUGUCACUUUUAAUGUCCUCCAAUAAUUCUUUUACAAACUCGAAAUUUACCUUAUUCGUUUUUAGGCUUUUAAAGCUAUCACACUCCCAAAUCGCUUGUCUGACUUCAUCUUCCAUAAACUCCCGAAUCAACUCCUCACUUAAAUCUCCAUCCAUCUUUUUGAAAUCAAAAUUAGUUGAAUAUAGUCUUGCACCCCUACUUGAGAAUUACUUCCGAAAAUACUCGAAGAAUUUAUUUUUAAUUUCCUUUACAUCUUUGGCCUUCUUCCAUUUUCCUAUAUAAUAAAAAUUUCAUUGUCUUUUCUUCCGAUAUUCAUUCAUCUAUGUUAAGACUUAUUUGCAUCCCCUUUACAAUACUAAAUUUUGGACUUUUGUCAUUAAUAUAAUAAAAAAGGAAAAACAAUUUUGUAUGUUUUAAAUUAUAAAUUUGAUAAAGAUAUUUUUGUAAAAAAAAUAGUUUUUUAAAGUAUAAAAGAAAAAUUAAUAAAUUAUAAAUAUAAAAAAUGGGUUUUAAAAUUAAGGUAUAGAGGGCAAUUACUUUACUUUUGUUUCUACUUUUCUUUUCCUUUCUUUUAUAUGUCUAUGAGGAAACUUUUUCUUCAUUUUGGUCAAAUUUAUUAUACUUGCAAAGCUGUCGUUUUUAAUGUGAAACGGACAUAGUAAAUAAUUACCCCAAUAUUUUAAAAUUAACAACAACAAAAAAAACUGCGGCGCUUUUUUGAGCAUUUUAAGUUUAACGUUUCUCCACUCUUCUCUCUUUCUCUACUCUCUCUCUUGUUUCCGAGUGUAGCAACAGAGAAAGAGCACAAACCAGAUUCGAAGACAAAAAUGGCGGGUUACAGAGCCGACGACGACUACGACUAUCUCUUCAAGGUAGUUCUGAUCGGCGACUCCGGCGUAGGUAAAUCCAACCUUCUUUCUCGGUUCACGAAGAACGAGUUCAAUCUCGAGUCCAAAUCCACCAUUGGUGUUGAAUUCGCUACUCGUACUUUAAAUGUUGAUUCCAAAGUCAUUAAGGCUCAGAUCUGGGAUACUGCUGGUCAAGAGAGGUAAUUUUCAUCACUCUAACGAUCGAUCGUGGUUAAGCGAUGAAUUUGUAGCUGAGUUUUGGAUUUUGUGGUUUGGUUUUUGAAUGUUUGUGAUUUUGUUGAAUGGAUCUGAUCUGUGGAUACUCGAGUUUUUAUUGUAGUGUAGUGGAUCGUGAUCCGUUGUUGGAGUGUUCUUCAUUUCGAAUGCUUGAGUAUUUGAAUAGUGUAGAGUUAGAAAACAAUAGAAGAAGAUGAAGAAAUUAAUUUUGUGUUUGUGGAAUUAGUUUAGGUAAUUAAUUAAUUAAUACUUCUAUUAGCGGUAAGGAAAUAUUUUUUAGAUUCAAUUUAAUAGACUUCAGUGUUUAUUUUGAUUUUCCAUAUUAGCGGUGGAGUUUGGACUCAGGUCCAUUAUUUUUGACUUUUUGUUUAUAAAAAAUCAAGAAUUUAAUUUUGUUUAAAAAAACCAAGAGUUUUAACUUUUAUGAAAAUAAUAUACUCAUGUCACUUGUCAUCUGGUAUCUAAUUUUAAUUUUGGAAAAUAUUAAUUUUAGGACAUUAGGGAGUUACAAAAAAAUUUAUACUUUGAAUUUUUUUAGGCAGGAAAACUUGUAACAUUUCAUUAAUCAAAAGUAUUCUAUAGGUGGUAUUUCUACCAUUAAUUUCUAUUGAGUUGUGUAUAUAGUAACAUUGAUAUUGCUAAAUGUCGUGAGUGUAAAAUAGUUUUACACCGUCAUUCAAUAGGGAUUCAUCAUUCAGUUAUGUCAUAUAAUUAACUAAAAAUAUCUAGAUGACUUGGUAGAAUACACGAUGGUGAUUGGUUAGCGGUGUAAAAUUAUUUUAUACGGUCAAAACAUGUCCUUUUUUCUCUAUUGAGUAUCUAUCCUAUUUCAUUGUCAAAUAAUAAUCAAGUUCAUUUAGUUCAUGGAAUGGAAGCUUCUUGUCUUCAUGUUUUAGACUUAUAUAAUAGAGAUAUUCACAUAACACCAGUGUUGUUGAUGGUGGAUGGCGGUCCAUGGCGGAGAGGCAAAAUCCCGCCAUACCGGCCGCAAGUAUAUAAUAGAGAUAUUCACAUAACACCAGUGUUGUUGAUGGUGGAUGGCGGUCCAUGGCGGAGAGGCAAAAUCCCGCCAUACCGGCCGCAAGCCGUUAUUGCGGAUUAUGGCAGAAAACCCCGCAAUAGCGGCCGAUAUUUACCAUUGCGGCAAGCCCGAAAAUUGUCAUGUAAAUCCGCCAUAGCAGACAUGGCGGGGCAAUUUGAUAACACUGCAUAACAUUAUAAAUUAAACUUAUAUAAUAGAGAUAUUCACAUAACAGUAUUAAAUUUGUAUAAUAAUAUGUUGAUGCUUAUGUUUUAAUUUCAUGUACAAGCCUCAUUUUGAAAAUCAAGUCUUGUUUGGUGUUAAAAAAAUGCUUUCUAGUUUAUUUAAGAUCCAUUUGGCCGCCUGUUAUCAAACCGUUCAGGUCACGCUCCAGGUGUCCAGAGUUUGAUGUGAGGGGUCCGUGUUUAGAGUCCUACAUUAUAUGAGAAAAUUUCUAGAUAUGAGUAUUUAAGUGUGGCAGUCACACCUUACAAACUGGUGGUUUUGUAAUGUUUGAGAUAGACUGUACUCAAAUUCUCGGAACUUAUAUUACAAAAUUGAUAUUUUAUGCCUUAUUUUCGAAUUGUAUAGAAACUAGCUAAAACAUUUUGUUUUCACAUUUUCUUAUAAAAUAUAUGGAAUGAAGCAGAGCAAAAGUUAGGCGACAUUAUUGUAAUUACUCGUGAAAAUAUAAAACAUUUCUCCAAAUCAAAUCAAACCAAACAUGCUCUUAGUUUUUGCGCUUUCAUUUUAUUGCCGGGAUUUUGCGUUUCCAUCUUAAAGCUUGUAGGGAUUUGGAAUGUUGAUAUGCGUGGCUUCUUCUGUCCUCAUGCUUUGUUCAUCUAUGUUCUUGGCCUAUCAAACUGUCCCAAAUAUGAAGCAUUUGGGUGCAAUUGUUGCAAAAUAAAG